CCUACGGGUGGCUGCAGUGGGGAAUAUUGGGCAAUGGACGCAAGUCUGACCCAGCAACGCCGCGUGAAGGAAGAAGGCUUUCGGGUUGUAAACUUCUUUUAUGGGGGAAGAGCAGAAGACGCUACCCCUUGAAUAAGCCACGGCCAACUAUGUGCCAGCAGCCGCGGCAAUACGUAGGUGGCAAGCGUUGUCCGGAUUUACUGGGUGUAAAGGGCGUGCAGCUGGGCCGACAAGUCAGAUGUGAAAUCCGCGGGCUUAACCCGGGAGCUGCAUUUGAAACUAGUGGUCUUGAGUACCGAAGAGGUCAUCGGAAUUCCUUGUGUAGCGGUGAAAUGCGUAGAUAUAAGGAAGAACACCAGUGGCGAAGGCGGAUGACUGGACGGCGACUGACGGUGAGGCGCGAAAGCGUGGGGAGCGAACAGGAUUAGAUACCCUUGUAGUC
Molecule: ribosomal RNA, 442 nt
Filed under: uncultured bacterium
Lineage: Bacteria
Description: partial 16S ribosomal RNA
Rfam family: Bacterial small subunit ribosomal RNA
Source: RNAcentral